RNAcentral lists this ribosomal RNA (427 nucleotides) under uncultured bacterium. Its description in RNAcentral is "partial 16S ribosomal RNA". It matches the Rfam family "Bacterial small subunit ribosomal RNA", at positions 355 to 774 of the family's 1533-position model. The record is from RNAcentral.
UGGGGAAUAUUGGACAAUGGGCGAAAGCCUGAUCCAGCCAUGCCGCGUGUGUGAAGAAGGUCUUCGGAUUGUAAAGCACUUUAAGUUGGGAGGAAGGGCAUUAACCUAAUACGUUAGUGUUUUGACGUUACCGACAGAAUAAGCACCGGCUAACUCUGUGCCAGCAGCCGCGGUAAUACAGAGGGUGCAAGCGUUAAUCGGAAUUACUGGGCGUAAAGCGCGCGUAGGUUGUUUUUUAAGUUGGAUGUGAAAUCCCCGGGCUCAACCUGGGAACUGCAUUCAAAACUGACUGACUAGAGUAUGGUAGAGGGUGGUGGAAUUUCCUGUGUAGCGGUGAAAUGCGUAGAUAUAGGAAGGAACACCAGUGGCGAAGGCGACCACCUGGACUAAUACUGACACUGAGGUGCGAAAGCGUGGGGAGCAAACA